UACAGAGGGUGCUAGCGUUGUUCGGAAUCAUUGGGCGUAAAGGGCGUGUAGGCGGUUUGUUAAGUCAUGUGUGAAAUCCCUCGGCUCAACCGGGGAACGACGCAUGAAACUGGCAAGCUAGAGUACCAAAGAGGGGGGUGGAAUUCCCGGUGUAGCGGUGAAGUGCGUAGAUAUCGGGAGGAACACCUGUGGCGAAGGCGGCCCCCUGGUUGGAUACUGACGCUGAGGCGCGAAAGCGUGGGGAGCAAACAGG
Molecule: ribosomal RNA, 253 nt
Filed under: uncultured bacterium
Lineage: Bacteria
Description: partial 16S ribosomal RNA
Rfam family: Bacterial small subunit ribosomal RNA
Source: RNAcentral